RNAcentral lists this ribosomal RNA (497 nucleotides) under uncultured bacterium. Its description in RNAcentral is "partial 16S ribosomal RNA". It matches the Rfam family "Bacterial small subunit ribosomal RNA", at positions 28 to 507 of the family's 1533-position model. The record is from RNAcentral.
GACGAACGCUGGCGGCGUGCCUAAUACAUGCAAGUAGAACGCUGAAGAGGGGAGCUUGCUCUUCUUGGAUGAGUUGCGAACGGGUGAGUAACGCGUAGGUAACCUGCCUUGUAGCGGGGGAUAACUAUUGGAAACGAUAGCUAAUACCGCAUAACAAUGGAUGACACAUGUCAUUUAUUUGAAAGGGGCAAUUGCUCCACUACAAGAUGGACCUGCGUUGUAUUAGCUAGUAGGUGAGGUAACGGCUCACCUAGGCGACGAUACAUAGCCGACCUGAGAGGGUGAUCGGCCACACUGGGACUGAGACACGGCCCAGACUCCUACGGGAGGCAGCAGUAGGGAAUCUUCGGCAAUGGGGGCAACCCUGACCGAGCAACGCCGCGUGAGUGAAGAAGGUUUUCGGAUCGUAAAGCUCUGUUGUAAGUCAAGAACGAGGGUGAGAGUGGAAAGUUCACACUGUGACGGUAGCUUACCAGAAAGAGACGGCUAACUACGUG